AUUGAACGCUGGCGGCAGGCCUAACACAUGCAAGUCGAGCGAGCGGCGGACGGGGGAGUAAUGUCUGGGAAACUGCCUGAUGGAGGGGGAUAACUACUGGAAACGGUAGCUAAUACCGCACACCAUCAGAUAUGCCCAGAUGGGAGUAGCUAGAAGGUGGGGUAACGGCUCACCUAGGCGACGAUCCCUAGCUGUUCUGAGAGGGUGACCAGCCACACUGGAACUGAGACACGGUCCAGACUCCUACGGGAGGGAGCGGUGGGGAAUAGUGCACAAUGGGCGAAAGCCUGAUGCAGCCAUGCCGCGUGUGUGAAGAAGGCCUUCGGGUUGUAAAGCACUUUCGUCGGGGAGGCGUUACCCGCAGAAGAAGCACCGGCUAACUCCGUGCCAGCAGCCGCGGUAAUAC
RNAcentral lists this ribosomal RNA (406 nucleotides) under uncultured bacterium. RNAcentral describes it as "partial 16S ribosomal RNA". It matches the Rfam family "Bacterial small subunit ribosomal RNA", at positions 29 to 526 of the family's 1533-position model. The record is from RNAcentral.